Molecule: long non-coding RNA, 522 nt
Filed under: Oryctolagus cuniculus (rabbit)
Lineage: Eukaryota; Metazoa; Chordata; Mammalia; Lagomorpha; Leporidae
Description: lncRNA (ENSOCUG00000032160.1)
Source: RNAcentral
AUGGUUACUCCUAGUUCAGGGGUGAAUACGGUGUGCUGGGCAGUGGUCAGUGAUUCUGGAUACAAAGUCCAAUCCCCAGUGACAGCUGACAGGAAACUCAGUCCCAGGAUCAGCUUCGAAAAUUUUCCAGUUUUCCUUUGCAAAUCAAGUCAAUCACCUACAUAUUUGACUAAAGGCUUUGCCAGCUGGGCUGUCUUGCUGAGGCCGUGUGUAGAGUCAAGCAACUAUGGAAAACGAACAUUCAAAAGCCAGUCCCAGUGUGCCCACUUCAAAGAGAAAGGCAGAUGAAUAUUUAAAUCCCAACAUGGCCACCAAAAAUAUGCUGAGCUUUUUACUUGGUAGACAGCUAGGGAGGCACCGAAAUGAAGCUGAUCUCUCAAAGUGGCUGUGGAUGCUGACACGAGCAACACCGGGUUGGAGUUGGCCUUUGCCAAAAAAUCAUGUGACACACAUGCUUAUGCCUGCCCAGAAAAAUGGAAAACCCAAAAAAAUAGUUUAGAAUAAAACUCCCUCCUUGUUCCA